GGCAACGUGGCCGAGCGGUCUAAGGCGCCACGUUAAGGAGAUAUCCUUGAUCAUCAUCUAGCAUUCUGUCUUCAGAAAUAUAGAUUCCGUGGUCCGAAAGGGCGUGAGUUCGAAUCUCACCGUUGUCA
Molecule: non-coding RNA, 128 nt
Organism: Echria macrotheca
Lineage: Eukaryota; Fungi; Ascomycota; Sordariomycetes; Sordariales; Schizotheciaceae
Source: the annotation of a GenBank genome assembly